RNAcentral lists this ribosomal RNA (449 nucleotides) under uncultured bacterium. Its description in RNAcentral is "bacterial SSU rRNA". It matches the Rfam family "Bacterial small subunit ribosomal RNA", at positions 330 to 795 of the family's 1533-position model. The record is from RNAcentral.
GCCAGACUCCUACGGGAGGCAGCAGUGGGGGAUAUUGCACAAUGGGGGGAACCCUGAUGCAGCGACGCCGCGUGGGUGAAGGAGCGUUUCGGCGCGUAAAGCCCUAUCGGCAGGGAAGAAGGAGGACGGUACCUGACUAAGAAGCCCCGGCUAACUACGUGCCAGCAGCCGCGGUAAUACGUAGGGGGCAAGCGUUAUCCGGAUUUACUGGGUGUAAAGGGGGCGCAGACGGCAGCGCAAGCCAGGAGUGAAAGCCCGGGGCCCAACCCCGGGACUGCUCUUGGAACUGCGCGGCUGGAGUGCAGGAGGGGCAGGCGGAAUUCCUGGUGUAGCGGUGAAAUGCGUAGAUAUCAGGAGGAACACCGGUGGCGAAGGCGGCCUGCUGGACUGCGACUGACGUUGAGGCCCGAAAGCGUGGGGAGCAAACAGGAUUAGAUACCCGCGUAGAU